AGUACAAUUGCUAGGUCACAUGGUAAUUCUAUUUUCAAGUUUUCGAGGGAACUACCAUACUGUUUUCUAUAACAACUGCACCAUUUUAUAUUCCCAUUAAUAAU
Molecule: microRNA precursor, 104 nt
Filed under: Marmota monax (woodchuck)
Lineage: Eukaryota; Metazoa; Chordata; Mammalia; Rodentia; Sciuridae
Source: RNAcentral